CACUCCAGCUUGGUCAACAGAGGGAGACCUUCUCUCAAAAAACAAACAAACAAACAUACAAACCUCUGUCUUCCUUAACUCUCAGAAUUUUUAUGGCAACCAAUGAGAUGAUAUUAAAGUACUUUUUAUAGUAUAAAGUGCUAUGCAAAGUGAGAAAAAAAGAUGCCUCUAUUCUUAUAGAAAGUCAAUGGCAAUUUUAUGACUAUCUUGCUUGGAAGAACAGCUUGACGUGCAGUUUUCUUAAAAGACAAGGAUAACAUGAAUCAAUGACAAAGACUCUAAACUGGGAAUCAAGACACAUGCUAUUGAAGCCAGUGAUGGUACUGGCUUUUCACUCUGGUUACAGGGCCUUUCUUUCCUUUUUUAUCCCCUGUACCUUUUACAUAUUCGUAUAUACACACACAUACAUACAUGUAUAUAUACACACACACAAAGACACACAUAUACUUGCUAAACUGGGAGUUCCUUAAAAGGGUAAGGACCAUAUUUUACACAUUUAUAAACUACCAUUAAGGCCUAGCACAAAACCAAUAUAGAAAAACAACCAAUGAAUGUCUGUUUUACUCAUGGUUUUUAAAUUUAGCUACACAUUUGGAAUAACUUGAGAUGAUUUUUUUUCUAAAUACCAAAACCAAACCCAUCUCACACGGCUGAGAAAUGCCAAUUUUGGUUUUGCUUUUGCUUUUAAUUGAGGCUUGGUCUCCUACUAAAUUGGGAUAAAAGUGAUAAAAGUGACUGGUUUGCUUUCAGUAUGACUAAAGUGAAUAUAAGUGUGAAAUAAAAGGGAUCAAGUAAAGGUUUGAAACUUUUAAUGCAUUAAGCACAUUUGUAGUAUAAAUGUUAAUUAUAAUUUUUAAAAUGGCUUAAUACUGUCCUCGAAAGGUCUCUAUAAAUCUAACGUCAUUUUACAAUAAAAGGUUUAAAACUGGCUAAUAUAGGAGGCAGUAGUUUCUUAAGCAAAGAUUCACAUUUUUCACAGCAAUCCCAAGUUACUGACUGACUGUAUCAUCUUGGCUUUUCAGAUAUAGCACAGAUAUAAAGAAAUAGGCAAUUUCUGGGAGAGUAUAAAUAAAAUUUAAGCAUCAAUAUGCAAAUCAUUGGCUCCACAGUCAUUUCAGUUGUCCCCCAGUAUCAUAAAUUACCCGCACGCUGCCCUCCAUGAAGAAGCACCUGCAGCUACUCCUCCUGAGAGGCCCAUCUUCUGACCAAUCAUUUGUUUGCAGGUGACCUUUUUAGUAUCUUCUCUCAGCAUUCUUCUGCAUGUCAGCAGUGACCCAGUGACACCAUUCCCAGGAUUUAUAAUAAGUUUUCAUGAUUCUGAACCCUUGCUCAUGCUGUGUUCAACAUCAACAAUGCCGUUUACCUCUCUUCACUUUCUACCAAGCCCUAUAUUUUUAUAUUGUCCCAGCUCAAAUGUCUCUAACUCUGUGAACAUUUCCCUAACUCCUCCAAAGAAGAGAAGCUUAAUUCCUUUUUCUGGGCUCUUUACUACUUUCUGCAUACUUAUAACAGUCCACAAGGAAGCCAUUUAUUUACCUGCCUACAUGUCCCAACAAGUUGGAAACGCCAAGUAGUCUCACUAUACUGGCACAAUGCCUAGGCAAGAAGCCCUUACAUAACUAUCUUACACAGAAAUGGGUCAAUGAAUGAACAUUACCCUUUCUUAGUUACUCAUAUCUUUCUAGAAUUGCUAUAGCAUUCACUGAUACAAUCAUCUCUUUUUACUUUCCUUAAUUUGGUGAUGUAAUGAAGCAUGCUGAUAGAUUUCCAGAUAUUGAACUAUCUUUGCAUUUGUGGAAUAAAAUCCUAUCUAGUCACAGCUGCAGUGCCCUCUUUAGCAAUCACUGAUGCAUUAACCUCUUUUUCCCUCCCUUAAUUUGAUGAUGUAAUGAAAUAUGUUGAUAAAGCCUAGAUAUUGAACCAUCUUUGCAUGCCUAGAAUAAAUCCUUUGUUACGGUUGUGUUUUGAUAUAUUAAUGAAUUAACUAGGCUAUUUUAUUUAUAAUUUGUGUACAUAUAAUCAUAAUAAAGAGCAUUUUAUAGCAUUUUUUCUGCCUGUUUUACUUAUCAUGAUUAGGUUUUGAUAGGGGAGUUUUCUCCAACCUCCUCUACUGUCUAGGUUAUUUAAUAACUUCAUUGGAAUUAUCUGGUUUUUUUAAAGGUUAUCCAAAUUCAGCAUAAAGUCAUCUAAAUAUAUCUUCCUUUAACAGACAUUAAUCAUAUUAUCAGUAACUUCUAUGAUAGUAGUAGUAGUUUUCUAUUUAUUCUGAGGUCAUUUUGCAGUACUUUUCUGAUAGAAAUUCACUCCUUUUUUCCUAGGUUUGAUCUCUCCUCUCUCUUAACCAAGCUACUUCUUGUCUAAAAAUGACUUCCAAUGUACUAUGCAUCAAUUUAGAUCAUAAACAUUACUUUCUACUAGUCCUUGAAGGUAAAUCUUGCACUAUAUCCUACAGUUCAAGUUAUAUAUCCUUAUAGUACAAUUCUACAGCAUCUACAUACUGUUGUCACAUAUUCAUCACAUGGUACCCUGCCCAUCUGCUUGCCUUUUUCCCAAACUAAACUCUCAAAUCCUGAGAGUGGAAAUAUUUACCAUUUUAUAAUCCCAGGGCCUACACAUGAUAGGUACUCAAUAAAAAUGUCUGUUAAUUUAAUGAAUGAAUGAAUUUAUUUGCCUGGCACUGGCACUAUAGAUGAAUCAGAUUCCUAUUCUUUACUCAAAGAGCUCAAAGCCUAUUUGAGGAAGAAAUAUUUAUAAAUGUGAAAAGAGAAAGACAGUAACACAGAAAGCACAGAAAAAUCUUGGGGGAUGUCAGAAAAGCUAGCAGAAGCUUGGCAGAGGUAGCCCUUAACCAGGACUUUGAAUGAUGAGUAAAUAAAAGAAAACUGGAGUAACAAGGGCAAAGAUUAGAAAUAAUACUGUGAGCCUGGGUAUGAAGCAAGGCAUUUCUGUAGGACAGGGAUCAGACCAGUGGUACCAAAAUGAGGGAUUCAGGGAGAAUAGUUAGGGGAAAGUUCUAAAAGAUAAUGUGAGUCCUGCCUUUUAAAGGUCUUACAUAAAGAUAAGAUAAAGAUAAGAAGCUAGAGCUUUUAUCCUUGAAUAGGAAGAUAACGAGAGUGAAAAUUCCAGGUACUAAAAAUUAAAUCAUGUAGGAUGGAUCCAAGGAAAGUGAUAAAUCCAAUAGUAUGGACAUAGAGUCCCUGUGGCCCCAGUUCUAGUCUCAGCUAUACUAGUGUGACCUUUACUCAUUUGCAAAAUGAAUACCUGUAAAGUCCCAAUCGGCUCUAAUAUCCUAGAGUGCUUUCUUUCUCUAAAAUCUUAAUUACAGCUCUUCAUUUUGAUAAACGGGUUUGAUGAAACUUCACAAGUUUAAUCAACAGAUGAACUAGCACAUAUUACUGGGGCUUCUUGGCUUCUCAUAGAGACCCAUGUAAACCCAAAGAUAAGCAGUGGUGAGAGCUGGUGUUGCUGGACCAAGAUUCACACUGCUCUUACUUCCCCUCGUUCUAGAUAGGUUUCAUUCGAAGCUCAUAAUCAUCAUGAAAGCAAGAAGUGAAAGGGAAGAUUUCCAGAGAGGCUCUGAGAAUACACAACCACCAUCAGCAGACAGGAAAGCAAGAGCAAUGGCCCUCCUCUAAGCAAGAUGCCUACUGCUAAAGAGAACUGGGGAGCUGCUGCUUCCUCAGCGUUGCUCUUUCAGAAAUUGUCAAAUGCAAACAAUUAAGAAGAACGUAAGAGGUUUCACUUAUCAACUUCUCUGCUGCUCUUCUGUCUUUUCCCCCAGCCAUCCUAAGAAGACUAGAGACUGACAAUAAAUAACAAGUGUUUAUUGAAGAUUUAUUAUAUGUCAAACAAUUUUUCAAUGGCCACACAGUCAUCCCAACUGCCAUAUGAGGUAGCAUUAUCAUUACCCACAUCUAGCAAAUCAAGAAAGAAAGACUGCAAGAGGUUGAAUAACUUGCUCAAGGAUAUACAGCUAACGAACAGCAAAGCUGAAGCUGGGACACAGAUCUUUGACUCCAAAUCUCUCCAGUCUUCACUCUGUAUUACCUCCUUAUUUGGAGAAGAAAGGAAGACACCACAGAUAAAAGGAAAUCAGCACUUAACAGUUGUUUUUGCUCUUAUUAUUUCCAUUCCAGCUCUUGAAUUCUACUUGCCAUAAUGUUUUCUCUAUUCUGUACCCUCAAAUCUAAUCAUAAUAAGCCACAGGACCACAAAGUAAUGAGGCCAAUAGUCAACAGACAAAAAAAAAAAAAAAAAAAUCAAGGCACAA
Molecule: long non-coding RNA, 4270 nt
Organism: Cercocebus atys (sooty mangabey)
Lineage: Eukaryota; Metazoa; Chordata; Mammalia; Primates; Cercopithecidae
Exons: 2
Source: RefSeq, a predicted model, not a curated record